Molecule: ribosomal RNA, 468 nt
Filed under: uncultured bacterium
Lineage: Bacteria
Description: partial 16S ribosomal RNA
Rfam family: Bacterial small subunit ribosomal RNA
Source: RNAcentral
GACGAACGCUGGCGGCGUGCUUAACACAUGCAAGUCAAACGGAAAGGCCCUGCUUUUGUGGGGUGCUCGAGUGGCGAACGGGUGAGUAACACGUGAGUAACCUGCCCUUGACUUUGGGAUAACUUCAGGAAACUGGGGCUAAUACCGGAUAGGAGCUCCUGCUGCAUGGUGGGGGUUGGAAAGUUUCGGCGGUUGGGGAUGGACUCGCGGCUUAUCAGCUUGUUGGUGGGGUAGUGGCUUACCAAGGCUUUGACGGGUAGCCGGCCUGAGAGGGUGACCGGCCACAUUGGGACUGAGAUACGGCCCAGACUCCUACGGGAGGCAGCAGUGGGGAAUAUUGCACAAUGGGCGGAAGCCUGAUGCAGCAACGCCGCGUGCGGGAUGACGGCCUUCGGGUUGUAAACCGCUUUCGCCUGUGACGAAGCGUGAGUGACGGUAAUGGAUAAAGAAGCACCGGCUAACUACGUG